Molecule: long non-coding RNA, 509 nt
Filed under: Sorghum bicolor (sorghum)
Lineage: Eukaryota; Viridiplantae; Streptophyta; Magnoliopsida; Poales; Poaceae
Description: long non-coding RNA (SBIC_LNC002205)
Source: RNAcentral
GGAGCCAGUAUUAAGUGCGGCCUUCUUCCUCGACGUUCCUGGAUUCAAUGUGCUGAAACUUUUUCCUUGAUGUGUUGACGCUGUCUCAACACUCUAGUUUGCACUUCUUGGAUGAUCCAUGACAUGGUAUUUCCUUCUACUAGGAUUAUUAGCAGCAGGCCUAAAGAUCAUCUGGAACUCUGGACAGUAGAGUAUGUCUUGCAAGCGUCAUCGGCAUGGUUGUUUAAGUAAUGAUUUAUUUACUGAUUUGUGCUACUCGUCACUGAAGCUGCAGGACACUGGAGAUAUUUCUGCAGGAAAAGAAACCAUAUAUAUUUAUAUAGGUGCACACAGAAGUCCAACCAGUUCGGUUUUGUUCACAUUAUUGUGCGACACAAGUAAUUAUUAUAUACCAAAUGGAAGAGUAGGAGUCCUAGAGUGAAGAGUAGUCCCAUGCACAUAUGGCAGCUGAGCUCGUUACUUUAAGAGAAAAAAUAGGAACUGGACUUCAGUGUGUGCGCGCGUGUGUG